CCCGUACCGCAAACCGACACAGGUAGUCAAGAUGAGAAUUCUAAGGUGAGCGAGCGAACUCUCGUUAAGGAACUCGGCAAAAUGACCCCGUAACUUCGGGAGAAGGGGUGCUCUUUAGGGUUAACGCCCAGAAGAGCCGCAGUGAAUAGGCCCAAGCGACUGUUUAUCAAAAACACAGGUCUCUGCUAAACCGUAAGGUGAUGUAUAGGGGCUGACGCCUGCCCGGUGCUGGAAGGUUAAGAGGAGUGGUUAGCUUCUGCGAAGCUACGAAUCGAAGCCCCAGUAAACGGCGGCCGUAACUAUAACGGUCCUAAGGUAGCGAAAUUCCUUGUCGGGUAAGUUCCGACCCGCACGAAAGGCGUAACGAUUUGGGCACUGUCUCAACGAGAGACUCGGUGAAAUCAUAGUACCUGUGAAGAUGCAGGUUACCCGCGACAGGACGGAAAGACCCCGUGGAGCUUUACUGUAGCCUGAUAUUGAAAUUCGGCACAGCUUGUACAGGAUAGGUAGGAGCCUUUGAAACGUGAGCGCUAGCUUACGUGGAGGCGCUGGUGGGAUACUACCCUAGCUGUGUUGGCUUUCUAACCCGCACCACUUA
This 598-nucleotide ribosomal RNA is filed under the name Staphylococcus aureus. RNAcentral describes it as "partial 23S ribosomal RNA". It matches the Rfam family "Bacterial large subunit ribosomal RNA", at positions 1641 to 2238 of the family's 2925-position model. The record is from RNAcentral. Lineage: Bacteria; Bacillati; Bacillota; Bacilli; Caryophanales; Staphylococcaceae.